CCUACGGGUGGCAGCAGUGGGGAAUAUUGCACAAUGGGGGAAACCCUGAUGCAGCGACGCCGCGUGAGUGAAGAAGUAUUUCGGUACGUAAAGCUCUAUUAGCAGGGAAGAAAAUGACGGUACCUGACUAAGAAGCCCCGGCUAACUACGUGCCAGCAGCCGCGGUAAUACGUAGGGGGCAAGCGUUAUCCGGAUUUACUGGGUGUAAAGGGAGCGUAGACGGCAGCGCAAGUCUGGAGUGAAAUCCCAUGGCUUAACCAUGGAACUGCUUUGGAAACUGUGCAGCUAGAGUGCAGGAGAGGUAAGCGGAAUUCCUAGUGUAGCGGUGAAAUGCGUAGAUAUUAGGAGGAACACCAGUGGCGAAGGCAGCUUACUAAGCCAUAACUGACACUGAAGCACGAAAGCGUGGGGAUCAAACAGGAUUAGAUACCCGAGUAGUC
RNAcentral lists this ribosomal RNA (440 nucleotides) under uncultured bacterium. RNAcentral's name for it is "partial 16S ribosomal RNA". It matches the Rfam family "Bacterial small subunit ribosomal RNA", at positions 338 to 795 of the family's 1533-position model. The record is from RNAcentral.